CGAUCAGGCCCACGCUAGGCCAGGUCUCACGUUACCCUCCAAAGCUGUCCAGAUGAGAAAGAAGGCGAGCCGCGUGUGGCAGGGACGCGCCGGCACCACACCCUCGGACUCCCAGUGACAGCCCAGCGCGCGAGCGAGCGCCGGGCCGCGGGGUCUCCGGCCUGCCGCCCGCCGCGCCCCACCCGCCCCGCGGCCCGCCCCCGGGCCGGACGAGCAGGCCUAAGCGCCUGCCCGGCUGCGGGGCCUAAAGAAGGAAGGAGCCCGCGCUGAGGAGGUGGCGCCCGCGCCGCCGCCUGGACUCCCAGCGCGGCGGCGGCGCCCGCGGCCCGGGGCUCUCCCGCUCACGUGCUGCCGGAAAGACGGUUUCCCUCUCUUACCCUCUGCAAAAUCCUCCUUAACAUGGUUUUAACACCACCCGGCGCCGCCGCGGUGACUCUCCGAACCCUACGCGGGCUACUCACUACUCGGGGGCACGCGGGCCGGGAGGGGACAGGGGAGAAGAUCGGGGCGAGGAGGUGGCUGCGGCCGCUCAGGCUGCCCCGACUUCCCCACAGGCGACGAGAGGGAGCGAGCGCGAGCAAGCGAACGACGAGGUAGCCGGCGAGCGCCCGCCCGCCUGCCGGGUCGCCCCCGUAACUGACAGCUGGGCGGGCCCGCCCGCGGCCGCCGAGGGGCGGAGCCGCUUCCGCCCCGCCCCCCGGGCCUGUCCGUCCGCUGAGGGCGGGGCUGGAACGGGGCUGGCCCGGGUCUGUGACCAAUCGGAAGCGGCGGGAGCGUGGGCGGCUGCGUGAUGGACAGGCAGCAGUACGCUGGCGCCGCGGCUUCUUCCGGCCGGCCAGAGGACGCUAGGGCAGCUGAGCUCACACCCGUGCUCUGUGAGAGGUCCGCGCCCGCCCAUCGACCGCGUCCUCUCUGCGGUCCGCCUGGGAUGUCCCUGACCCGGGCGGGAGGAGUAUACACCUAUAUGAAACCUUCUACUGAGCUUCAGGCAGUUUUGCAAAAUUUCUCAGUGCGCCCCUUCCGGUUCCUGCUCCUGGACAAGGCGUGGAGCCUGAGCUGAUCCUCAUUUCUGCUGGAAAUCUGACAGCCUUUAGCCCCUGGGUCAAGCAGAGGAGAGAAACCACAGACCUACUUAAACGGUCUUUUGGGCUUUCCUCUGCUUUUCCAUUCCCUGGUUUCCUUUCCCUGCUCCCUUCCUGCUUCUGAUUGCAGUUAAAGAGUCAGCAAGGGAUCAGAAAAAGGAAUGGGAAGAUGCUGGAAUUUGAAUUAGCGAAAAAGAAGUUUGGUCAUGUCCGUUUUGGACCUUCUCAGCCUCUUGUAAGGAAUUUUAAAUCCUAUUUCGAUAAUGGAUAUAUGAAGUAAGUCGCCAUUGAUGCCUGUAUUUUGCAGAUUAAAAAAAAAAAAAAUGAGGUCGCUGCUAAACAGGUGCCAAAACAAGACUUGAACUUGGAA
Molecule: long non-coding RNA, 1452 nt
Organism: Sciurus carolinensis (gray squirrel)
Lineage: Eukaryota; Metazoa; Chordata; Mammalia; Rodentia; Sciuridae
Exons: 2
Source: RefSeq, a predicted model, not a curated record